RNAcentral lists this ribosomal RNA (464 nucleotides) under uncultured bacterium. RNAcentral's name for it is "partial 16S ribosomal RNA". It matches the Rfam family "Bacterial small subunit ribosomal RNA", at positions 339 to 795 of the family's 1533-position model. The record is from RNAcentral.
CUACGGGGGGCAGCAGUGGGGAAUAUUGCACAAUGGGCGCAAGCCUGAUGCAGCCAUGCCGCGUGUAUGAAGAAGGCCUUCGGGUUGUAAAGUACUUUCAGCGGGGAGGAAGGGAGUAAAGUUAAUACCUUUGCUCAUUGACGUUACCCGCAGAAGAAGCACCGGCUAACUCCGUGCCAGCGGCCGCGGUAAUACGGAGGGUGCAAGCGUUAAUCGGAAUUACUGGGCGUAAAGCGCACGCAGGCGGUUUGUUAAGUCAGAUGUGAAAUCCCCGGGCUCAACCUGGGAACUGCAUCUGAUACUGGCAAGCUCGAGUCUCGUAGAGGGGGGUAGAAUUCCAGGUGUAGCGGUGAAAUGCGUAGAGAUCUGGAGGAAUACCGGUGGCGAAGGCGGCCCCCUGGACGAAGACUGACGCUCAGGUGCGAAAGCGUGGGGAGCAAACAGGAUUAGAUACCCCGGUAGUC